UAGGAUAGAGUGUGUGGGGUAGCACGGAGAAAUUUGGAUUCUCAGGGGUAGGUUCGAUGCCUACAGUCCUAG
RNAcentral lists this transfer RNA (72 nucleotides) under Macaca nemestrina (pig-tailed macaque). Its description in RNAcentral is "tRNA-Gln". The record is from RNAcentral. Lineage: Eukaryota; Metazoa; Chordata; Mammalia; Primates; Cercopithecidae.